Molecule: ribosomal RNA, 404 nt
Filed under: uncultured bacterium
Lineage: Bacteria
Description: bacterial SSU rRNA
Rfam family: Bacterial small subunit ribosomal RNA
Source: RNAcentral
CAGGGAAUCUUGCACAAUGGGCGAAAGCCUGAUGCAGCGACGCCGCGUGGGGGAUGAAGGCCUUAGGGUCGUAAACCCCUUUCAGCAGGGACGAAGAUGACGGUACCUGCAGAAGAAGCCCCGGCCAACUACGUGCCAGCAGCCGCGGUAAGACGUAGGGGGCGAGCGUUGUCCGGAUUUAUUGGGCGUAAAGAGCUCGUAGGCGGUUGCGUAAGUCGGAUGUGAAAACUCAGGGCUCAACCCUGAGACGCCAUCCGAUACUGCGCUGACUAGAAUCCAGUAGGGGAGUGUGGAAUUCCUGGUGUAGCGGUGAAAUGCGCAGAUAUCAGGAGGAACACCCAUGGCGAAGGCAGCACUCUGGGCUGGAAUUGACGCUGAGGAGCGAAAGCAUGGGUAGCGAACAG